Molecule: ribosomal RNA, 492 nt
Filed under: uncultured bacterium
Lineage: Bacteria
Description: partial 16S ribosomal RNA
Rfam family: Bacterial small subunit ribosomal RNA
Source: RNAcentral
GACGAACGCUGGCGGCGUGCUUAACACAUGCAAGUCGAACGGAAAGGCCCCCACUUUUUUGGUGGGGGUGCUCGAGUGGCGAACGGGUGAGUAACACGUGGGUGAUCUGCCCUGUACUUCGGGAUAAGCUUGGGAAACUGGGUCUAAUACCGGAUAGGACCAUGGUUUAGUGUCUCAUGGUGGAAAAAUUAUUGUUUUGGUGCAGGAUGAGCUCGCGGCCUAUCAGCUUGUUGGUGGGGUAAUGGCCUACCAAGGCGUCGACGGGUAGCCGGCCUGAGAGGGUGGACGGCCACAUUGGGACUGAGAUACGGCCCAGACUCCUACGGGAGGCAGCAGUGGGGAAUAUUGCACAAUGGGCGCAAGCCUGAUGCAGCGACGCCGCGUGGGGGAUGACGGCCUUCGGGUGGUAAACUCCUUUCGUUAGGGACGAAGCCGCACCUUUUUUGGGUGUGGUGACGGUACCUUUGUUAAGAAGCACCGGCUAACUACGUG